This 2030-nucleotide long non-coding RNA is filed under the name Homo sapiens (human). Its description in RNAcentral is "non-protein coding E2F3-IT1:1". Lineage: Eukaryota; Metazoa; Chordata; Mammalia; Primates; Hominidae. The record is from RNAcentral.
UACUAUAACAUAUGUGACAGCCUCCCCACAACAAAGAAUUAUCCAGCCCAAAAUGUCACUAGUGCCAAGGUUAACAAGUCUUGCUCUCAGAUAAUUCUUUGCCUAUCACAGGCAUUCUUUGUCCCCAGCUACAGUGUCAUAUAAGCCAUCUCAAACAAGGGUAUAUUCGUUGUCCCCCUUAUCCACGGUGUUGCUUUUCGUGCUUUCAGUUACCUAAGGUCCAAAAAUAUUACAUGAAAAAUUCCAGAAAUAAACAAUUCAUAAGUUUUAAAUUGCACUCGGUUCUGAGUAGCAUCAUUAAAUACCACCUGGGACUUGAGUCAUCCCCUUUGUCCGGUGUAUUCGCACUAUGUUACACUAUUCCCCAACCCUCAUUCCUUACUGUAUAGGAAAAAACAGUAUGUAUAGGGUUUGGUACUAUCUGAGGUUUCAGGCCUGCAGUAGGGGUCUUGGAAUGUAUCCUCGGAAAGCCUGGCUAAUUUUUUAAAUUUCUUUGUAGAGAGGGGUCUCACUAUGUUGCCCAGGCUGGUGUCAAACUCCUGGGCUCAAUCCUCCUGCCUCGGCCUCCCAGAACAUUGGGGUUACAAGCAUGAGCCACUGUACCUGGCCCUCCUCCAAUUUUUUCUUAAGAAAAAAGAGAAUUCAUACUUCAUUUACCUGACAGUCCUCAUCCCAUUUAAGUGUAUACAAUGGAAAUACGUACAUUUAUGACCAAUAUUGGUCUCUUUCUUUCUGUAGGUUUGAGUUUUGAUUAUAGACUUCGAUGGAGAAAGCAAUGGCGCCACAACCCAGCCAGGGUGCCCUGCCAGGACUUCCUCAUCUCUUGCAGUGAAACCCCCUUAUCAAACAUUACGUGCUAUCUGGCCCCCUUUGUCAUACUUUCUUGCACUCCACUUACUACAUAUCAAGGAUUUGCCAUGUUGUGGAAAAGUUGGUUUCAUAACAUAUUUUGAACUCUUAUUUAAGGGAGUUGUUUUUCUUAUAUUCUUCAUUCCACAAAUACUUAACCAAGGCAUAUUUUGCCACAGGUACAUGACUUCCAAAGAAAUCAUAACUAUAGUUAUCCAAAAAAAUUAAAAUAAUUUAGUAAUGUCCACAUCGUCUUAAACACUCUUCCAGAAUGUUCCAAAGGAACAAAUGGUUGCAGUGACUUUUAACUUUAGCCCCAGCCUACUUCCAGCUAAGGCAGUUCUCACUGCAGAUAUAUGUAUUCAUUGGUCCAAAGAAAGAGAGAGGAAAACUUGGCUCCCGAGUAUUUAGAGUGAAUGAUUCACGAUUCUGUACAUGGGAGUCUUGGCUCCUUCUCUGUCUCUCAGGCUUUUUGGUAGGAAGUCAAUGAUACCAGUAGAAAAAAGGCUGUUUUUCUGACUUAGGAUUUGGUCCGCUCUCUGCAACCCACUAGAGAAACUGAAGUUUUCUUUCCAUAAUGAUCUGAAGUGUUGAUAGUUACCAUCUCUGUAAAAGCUCAUUAAAAAAUGACUUAUUUUCCUUUGGAAGGAGAGGUCACAUGCUGGAGCUAGCAGUGGAAUAUCAGGACCAAGGAUCAUAAGCCUCCUGCUGUAACUCUGGUUUCCAGAUUUAUUUGAGCCUACUUCUGCCAGAAGUAAAUUUGGUGGGCAUCUUGAAUGGAGAAAUGAACAGAUGAUCAAGGAGAGGGAAAAGGGUCAGGAGUAGGGGUGGGAAGACCCCAAAAUCCAGUGAAAAGGGUCAGGGGUAGGGGUGGGAAGCCCCAAAAUCCAGUGUGGCAGAUAAGGGGAGGCCCAAAAUCCAGUGUGGCAGACAAGGGGUGAGGGCAUCCGAAACACACAGUUUACUAUUUUAACCAUUUUUAGGUGUAUGAUUCAGUAGCAUUGGCUACAUUUACAAUGUUAUGCAAGCAUCAUCCAUGUCCAGAUUUUUUUCACCGUCUCUAACAGAAAAUCUACCAUUGAACAAUAACUCCCCUCCCAUCCCUCUAGUCCCUGGUAAGCUCUAUUCUACUUUCUGUCUGUAUGAACUUGACCACUCUAGAUACCUCAUAUAAGUGGAAU